Molecule: unclassified non-coding RNA, 1848 nt
Filed under: Hevea brasiliensis (rubber tree)
Lineage: Eukaryota; Viridiplantae; Streptophyta; Magnoliopsida; Malpighiales; Euphorbiaceae
Source: RNAcentral
AAAAGCUUAGUUGAGUUGAGUUAGGAUAGGAAAAAUGACACAUUUGGUAUAAUUAAGAAAGAAUUAGGUGAUAAUUAAAAAUUAUAAUUAGUCAUAUGACUUGCACAUGAUUAUGGCAGCCAUAAAACACCCUUAAAUCACCUUAAGUGCAGAAAACAAAAAUAAAAAAGAGAGAGAGAGCAAAGUGGCCGAACCAAUGGAGGAGGAGGAAAGGGGAGGUGAAAUCAAGCAAUCCAACCUUGAAUUCUUCACUCUAAAUCAAGGUAUUUUGCUUCCUAAUCACUUCUAUACAAGUUAAUUUCACUUUAUUUUAUUUAAUUUCAUGAUUUGGAAGAAAGAAAAGUUAGGGUUUAUAUGGGGUGAAAUAUGGAAGUUGAUGGAAAAUUGGGAAUUCAUGGGAGUAACAUGAUUUCAUUAGGUUUAAUUUGAUUUUUAGCAUGCUUUUAACAUUCUAAUCACAAAACUAACAUUAAAUUUGCAUGAAUCAACAAAACACACUUAGGGUUCCAUGAAAGGUGGUUCGGCCAAAUGGGGAAAAUUAAGGGAGAAUGGGUUUUGAUUCCAAUAAAUUAGUUAAAUGAGUUAUUUAAGCAUCCCAAGCAUGAAAUAUGACAUUAGAACAUUUGUUGAAUGUUGAAUUGAAAUUUUCAUAUGAGAAAGUGUUGGAAAGUGUAAGGAAAUGCUCAUUUUAGGCAGCCACUUUAAUGGAAUUAUUAAAUAUUGUGUGGUUGUUGGUUGAAUAAUUGGAAAUGACAGAAUUAAAGUACUUGUGACAAAGAAUAUUAAGGUAUUUUCUGAGGGUCCGAAAAACAAAGGAAACUAGUUCAUUUUGGCAUGUGAAUCUUGCACACUAAGAGUUUGAUGAAAUGCAUAAAUGAAUUUAAGAUUAUGGAAAUAAUAUGGUAAAUUGGUAAAAAAAUUGGCUAAGGUUCCGAUUAGACAAUUUCUUAAGAAAAGGCAAAAUUAGCUCGAGCGGAUAGACUUAUCGAUUAAUACAGACGGAAUAAAAAGAAUAGUUAGGAAAUUUAUUCUGAAAUGUCUGUAUUUUUCUGUAUUACAAAGGUUCAUAAAGAAGAAAGAAAAAGUACUUGCCUAGGAGUUGCAUCCGGCCCAAAUUUGGAGGAAAGAGGUUUGUGCACAAUGAAUAUUAAACUAACAAAUGUUUUACACUUUCUUAUUGACGAAAAUGGUUUAUUGCUAAAUGUUUUAUAUUCAUUGAGUUAUAAUUUUAUUACAGCAAUUAUUUUAAUAUUGUUAUUGUUGUGAUGAAUUUUAUUUGGAUAUUGUGUUUUAAAUUGUAAUUUGCAUGAAAAGUAUUGAUUGCUGAGAUUUACAGGAAAUGAUUCUAUAUUGUGACAUCAUGCUCACAAAAAGGAAAUGAGUUUUAUGAUUUUAUCUCUAUAUUUCACAGCUAAUGCCUAACAUGGUUAUUACCCGUCCCUCAUUUGUUGAGGUGACACACUAGUGUUUGAAUGGAUACAAUAUAGAUACCAUGGUAUGUGCACAUUGAUAUGAUAUGGUCUCCCUCAUGUAAGAGGUGAGAUUAGAUUUGAAGAUGGCCCUUGCGGAUUAUUUAUAUAUAUGGUGUUAUGGAUGGCAUGUGCAUAGUGAUAUGAUAUGGUCUCUUUCAGGUAAGAGGUGAGAUGAGAUUUGAAGAUGGCCUUUGCGGAUUAAUCUUGCAUUAGACUGGUGAGAUUAAGAAUGAAAUUUAAAUUGUGCAAAGGUGUUUCAAAGAUGAUACCAUAUGAGCAAAUGAUAUAUAAGAAACUGUUUUUUACAUGUGACCCAUACUUUUAUAUUCACCUUGUAAGUAUAUUUGAAUAUCCAUUUCCAUGACUUGUUUUAAAU